UUUGACUUACUACAGCAUUGACGUUUACAGGCUGCACAUUUACGUGGCUCAUGCACUGCAAUGAAUGUUUUAAGCUCUGUACAGAAAAGAAAUAAUAUGAUGAACGAUGUACAAUGUCCACCUCCGUUACUGAGCUCCUCAACCAUUUGAACUGACCAAGGAGCUGCCGUUCUGAGAAAGAGUCGCUAGGAUGUCAUGUCCCAGGUAGAUGAUAUGAGUGACACAAUCAGCACGACCAUAUUUAAGAAUGGAAGACUGACAGCCUCACCAUUGCUGAUGUCACCUCCGUUUUCUGCCCUCCUGGACCCGCCCUUUCCUGACGAUUCACCACAUAACUUACCAGGACCGGCCAUCUUACUCCAGUUCUCUUCUGAACUCUCUUGUUGCAGCUUUAUUGUUUUCAACAUUUUCAGUUAUACAGGGCCACCAAGGUGGUGCUCCAAUCCUUUAUAUAUAUUUGUGUCUCCUCUUUUACACCAUCAAACCACCCAUUCUUUUUCGAACACAAGUUUCACAAAUUAUAAAUAGUGAGCUAUAUUUUAAUGAUUUUUGCAUCAUGCCAUACAAGGUCAUAUAGUCUGCCCACAGACCUUGCCCAUUUUUGCUCCUACUUUAACAGUGACUCUCUACCCUGCCCAACUCACGCAUGCGUGCCUGAGGAUCACUGUCCAGAAAACACCCUCAGGACUACAGGGGGCGCUAUUGCUAACAGUCUUGACUCCUUUUUCCCCUCAGAGCCUUGAGAAACCACCCCUUAGGGCAACAAAGCCAAGGAAGCCCCGCCAUUUCCACUGUGCUCAGUAUUAAAGGGAGACGUCUCAUUUCAGACCUGACUGCCGUGGAGAACACAAGAUGGAGAGACAAAGUGUGUCCCUUAAAGAGUACUGAUUCUAGGGAGUUGUCCUAAGCAGACGGUGUUAAAGAGCACUCGUUUUAUUUACAGUUUAUUUCAUUUACAGUUUUCUUUUUUUUUUUUUGGAAUCAAACAGGGUUUUCUCCAGUUGGCACCCCAAGCAUUUGGCUUUUGUCCUGCCUUAUCAUUUGCUGCACUACAUCAUAUAUAGCCAGCUAGUUGCAAACAGACUCAGCAACAAGAUUCCUGGUAUAUAUUUAUGCGACUAUAAUACCAAAAGCAUUUCUUUACAAAGUUGCACAUAAGAUGCAAAUUUUUUUCAAUAGGGCAUUUAAUAUUCAGCUGCAUUUUGAAUUUCCAUAGAUAAAUGAUAUAUUCCUUUUUUAUUUUAGCCAACUUAAAACACUGUGCAAGGACACAUUUUCAGAGCUUGCAUUUUGUGUCCGCUUGCUCAAAUGCCACCAUCCAUUUCUUCCACAAUAUGCUUUUAAUCCACCAAUACACACCUACUGCAACAAUUACUACUUGUAGAAGAUGGCAGGCAGCCUUAGACAGCUUUCUCUGUGUUAACUCUGUAAACUGAAGGUUAGCCUGUGAUUGUGAUUGUAUUGUGCAGAAUUGGGCGAUUUUCCUCCACAGGACUUCGUGCACUCAACACAAAAGUGGAAAAAUACUCUUUGUGAAUGCCAAAGGGAAUAUAUUAAAAAAAUUAUAAUGAAAUGAAGAGGUUUAUUACAGCUAAAAAAGUAAGUAAAAGUUAAAGUGUAUGGCUUUGGAGAUAAAAAAAAGUACACAAAAUAAGGGAAUAAACCAGAAAC
Long non-coding RNA from Polypterus senegalus (gray bichir), 1671 nucleotides. RefSeq lists it as uncharacterized. The record is from RefSeq and is a predicted model, not a curated record. The transcript has 3 exons. NCBI's taxonomy places the organism in Eukaryota, Metazoa, Chordata, Cladistia, Polypteriformes, Polypteridae.